RNAcentral lists this ribosomal RNA (329 nucleotides) under uncultured eukaryote. RNAcentral's name for it is "partial 18S ribosomal RNA". It matches the Rfam family "Eukaryotic small subunit ribosomal RNA", at positions 1470 to 1796 of the family's 1831-position model. The record is from RNAcentral.
CCCUUAGACGUCCUGGGCCGCACGCGCGCUACACUGAGUGUCUGAGAUACGAGUCUGCCUGGUCCGGCAAGGUCUAGGUAAUCGCUAAAAGACACAUCAUGCUUGGGAUAGAUUAUUGCAAAUAUUAAUCUUGAACGAGGAAUUCCUAGUAAGCGCAAGUCAACAGCUUGCGUUGAUUACGUCCCUGCCCUUUGUACACACCGCCCGUCGCUACUACUGAUUGGAUGUUUAAGCGAGGUUCUCGAACUGCUAGCGACUUAGCUUCGGUGAGGUCGCAGUGUGGGAAGUGAACCUAGCUUUGGUGUCUAGAGGAAGUAAAAGUCGUAACA